This 236-nucleotide ribosomal RNA is filed under the name uncultured bacterium. RNAcentral's name for it is "partial 16S ribosomal RNA". It matches the Rfam family "Bacterial small subunit ribosomal RNA", at positions 111 to 346 of the family's 1533-position model. The record is from RNAcentral.
UAACGCGUGAGCAACCUGCCCUGUACCGGGGGAUAACACCGGGAAACCGGUGCUAAUACCGCAUGAAGCCUAUCAGCUGCAUAGCCAAUAGGUUAAAGCGAAUAAGCGGUAUAGGAUGGACCCGCGUCCCAUUAGCUAGUUGGUGAGGUAGAGGCUCACCAAGGCGACGAUGGGUAGCCGGCCUGAGAGGGUGACCGGCCACACUGGGACUGAGACACGGCCCAGACUCUACGGGA